Molecule: ribosomal RNA, 450 nt
Filed under: uncultured bacterium
Lineage: Bacteria
Description: partial 16S ribosomal RNA
Rfam family: Bacterial small subunit ribosomal RNA
Source: RNAcentral
GUGGGGAAUAUUGCACAAUGGGCGCAAGCCUGAUGCAGCCAUGCCGCGUGUGUGAAGAAGGCCUUCGGGUUGUAAAGCACUUUCAGCGGGGAGGAAGGCGAUAAGGUUAAUAACCUUGUCGAUUGACGUUACCCGCAGAAGAAGCACCGGCUAACUCCGUGCCAGCAGCCGCGGUAAUACGGAGGGUGCAAGCGUUAAUCGGAAUUACUGGGCGUAAAGCGCACGCAGGCGGUCUGUCAAGUCGGAUGUGAAAUCCCCGGGCUCAACCUGGGAACUGCAUUCGAAACUGGCAGGCUAGAGUCUUGUAGAGGGGGGUAGAAUUCCAGGUGUAGCGGUGAAAUGCGUAGAGAUCUGGAGGAAUACCGGUGGCGAAGGCGGCCCCCUGGACAAAGACUGACGCUCAGGUGCGAAAGCGUGGGGAGCAAACAGGAUUAGAUACCCCAGUAGUCC